RNAcentral lists this ribosomal RNA (253 nucleotides) under uncultured bacterium. RNAcentral describes it as "partial 16S ribosomal RNA". It matches the Rfam family "Bacterial small subunit ribosomal RNA", at positions 524 to 776 of the family's 1533-position model. The record is from RNAcentral.
UACGAAGGGUGCAAGCGUUACUCGGAAUUACUGGGCGUAAAGCGUGCGUAGGUGGUUUGUUAAGUCUGUUGUGAAAGCCCCGGGCUCAACCUGGGAAUGGCAAUGGAUACUGGCAAGCUAGAGUGCGGUAGAGGGUAGUGGAAUUCCCGGUGUAGCGGUGAAAUGCGUAGAGAUCGGGAGGAACACCAGUGGCGAAGGCGGCUUCCUGGACCGGUUCUGACACUGAGGAGCGAAAGCGUGGGGAGCGAUCCGG